Molecule: ribosomal RNA, 253 nt
Filed under: uncultured bacterium
Lineage: Bacteria
Description: partial 16S ribosomal RNA
Rfam family: Bacterial small subunit ribosomal RNA
Source: RNAcentral
UACGUAGGGUGCGAGCGUUGUCCGGAAUUACUGGGCGUAAAGAGUUCGUAGGCGGUUUGUCGCGUCGUUCGUGAAAACUCGGGGCUUAACCCCGAGCCUGCUUCUGAUACGGGCAGACUAGAGGUAUGCAGGGGAGAACGGAAUUCCUGGUGUAGCGGUGAAAUGCGCAGAUAUCAGGAGGAACACCGGUGGCGAAGGCGGUUCUCUGGGCAUUACCUGACGCUGAGGAGCGAAAGUGUGGGGAGCGAACAGG